GACGAACGCUGGCGGCGUGCUUAACACAUGCAAGUCGAACGGAAAGGCCUGCUUUCCCUUGUGGAUUGCGGGUACUCGAGUGGCGAACGGGUGAGUAACACGUGAGUGAUCUGCCCCCAACUUGGGUAUAAGCCUGGGAAACUGGGUCUAAUUCCCGAUAGGACUGCAGGGUGGUGCCUGUGGUGGAAAACGAUUUUCUAGUGGUUGGGGAUGAGCUCGCGGCCUAUCAGCUUGUUGGUGGGGUAAUGGCCUACCAAGGCGGCGACGGGUAGCCGGCCUGGGAGGGUGGACGGCCACAGUGGGACUGAGAUACGGCCCAGACUCCUACGGGAGGCAGCAGUGGGGAAUCUGGCACAAUGGGCGGAAGCCUGAUGCAGCGACGCCGCGUGGGGGAUGACGGCCUUCGGGUGGUAAACUCCUUUCGACCGCGAGGAAGCCACCUGGUUGGAAGGGUGGUGACGGUAGUGGUAGAAGAAGCACCGGCUAACUACGUG
RNAcentral lists this ribosomal RNA (494 nucleotides) under uncultured bacterium. RNAcentral describes it as "partial 16S ribosomal RNA". It matches the Rfam family "Bacterial small subunit ribosomal RNA", at positions 28 to 507 of the family's 1533-position model. The record is from RNAcentral.